Molecule: ribosomal RNA, 517 nt
Filed under: Fusarium verticillioides
Lineage: Eukaryota; Fungi; Ascomycota; Sordariomycetes; Hypocreales; Nectriaceae
Description: eukaryotic LSU rRNA
Rfam family: 5.8S ribosomal RNA (bases 148-301)
Source: RNAcentral
UCUCAUGCAGUUCGCUCCAACCCCUGUGACAUACCAAUUGUUGCCUCGGCGGAUCAGCCCGCUCCCGGUAAAACGGGACGGCCCGCCAGAGGACCCCUAAACUCUGUUUCUAUAUGUAACUUCUGAGUAAAACCAUAAAUAAAUCAAAACUUUCAACAACGGAUCUCUUGGUUCUGGCAUCGAUGAAGAACGCAGCAAAAUGCGAUAAGUAAUGUGAAUUGCAGAAUUCAGUGAAUCAUCGAAUCUUUGAACGCACAUUGCGCCCGCCAGUAUUCUGGCGGGCAUGCCUGUUCGAGCGUCAUUUCAACCCUCAAGCCCAGCUUGGUGUUGGGACUCGCGAGUCAAAUCGCGUUCCCCAAAUUGAUUGGCGGUCACGUCGAGCUUCCAUAGCGUAGUAGUAAAACCCUCGUUACUGGUAAUCGUCGCGGCCACGCCGUUAAACCCCAACUUCUGAAUGUUGACCUCGGAUCAGGUAGGAAUACCCGCUGAACUUAAGCAUAUCAAAAGCCCGGAGGAA